Triticum aestivum (bread wheat) is the source of this 125-nucleotide non-coding RNA. Lineage: Eukaryota; Viridiplantae; Streptophyta; Magnoliopsida; Poales; Poaceae. The record is from Rfam.
AUAAUACUCCCUCCGUUUGGAAUUAUUUGUCACAGAAAUGAAUGUAUCUAGACGUAUUUUAAUUGUAGAUACAUCCAUUUUUAUCCACUUUUAAGACAAAUAAUUUGGAACGGAGAGAGUAGGUU